AGUCGUGCAAAAGAAAAAUAGUGAGAGAAAGGUGUGAGAGGGAACCUAGAGAGAGGAGGAAGAAUGAACGGCCGGAAAACUCACCUAAAACUACCAUCGGAGUCUACUCCGAUCAAGAUCAUGAUGCAAGGAGCCUUUCUUGGAAGGGAAAAGAGAAUGUGGGUGGCCGGAGUCCCAUUUUCCAUCAAGGAAUCAGGAAAACCCGCGAGGAACAACUUUCUACAGGAUCUUUGAAGAAAUUUGACUGAAACCUCAAUUUGAAGGCAGAAAUCCGAGAAUCGUCCGAGAACGGUGAGCGAACUUCCGACGCUCUUAACUCGUCCGGUAGUCAAGAAAAAAAUUACAAAAAAAAUAC
Long non-coding RNA from Cucurbita moschata (crookneck pumpkin), 355 nucleotides. RefSeq lists it as uncharacterized. The transcript is spliced from 2 exons. The record is from RefSeq and is a predicted model, not a curated record. NCBI's taxonomy places the organism in Eukaryota, Viridiplantae, Streptophyta, Magnoliopsida, Cucurbitales, Cucurbitaceae.